CUUUAUUCAGCCAGGAGGUCAGCAGACUUGCAUCUCAAGAACAGAACUGAGCUCUCCAAAGACUUCAUUUGGCCAGGAGCGUCAAUGGACUUGCGUCUCAACAACAGAAGCGAGCUCCCUGAAGAAAGAGUUCCUGGCCUUUUUAAGGGCUUACAAUUGUAAGGCGUCCACGUGACAGGGUCGUGGUAGGCUGAGCAAGCAUGGGGCAAGGAUGUGUCAACAUAGAGACUUAGGAGGACAAAGUGAACUUCCUGAGCCCCAAUAGGCAGGAGUCCUGCCAAAGCCAAAAUGUAUGUGUCACCUUGGAAGAUGAUGCCCCAGGAAGAAUGGGGAGAAGGGAGGAGGAAAAACUGCUGAUGAGGCUGGCUUGCUCUUCGGGGCCCGUCAUAUCAGCAAAGCCAGCUCUUCUGAGAUGGAAGAACAAAGAUGCUUCUCCUCUGUGAAGAGGUGACAGUGGUGUUCUGGGUGAAGGAGAGCAGCUUUGUCCUGGAAGGAAUCUGACUUGGAAGGAGGCCCAGUUGUCCAGCAGGUGCGUGCUCCCUUUCUUCUCUGGCUUCCAAAGAGCUCUCUGCAAAGCUCCUUCGCGGAGCUGCUGGCAGGAGGUCCUUUGCUGGGGGGCAAUCCAUGGGGACGUCUGGAGCAGUGGGAGCCUAUCUUGGGACCUGGAUGGGAGCUGCUCCACCUCAGCACCCAGACUAUGAGGCACAGGGCUGGGCACUACGAGGCCAUGAGUUAAAGCAGCCUGGAUUUGGAUUUCAGAAGAACUGGGCUUGAGUCCUAGUUCUGCCACAAACCAUGUGACUCUUAGACAGUCACUUUAUGUUUUUAUUUCCUUGGCGGUAAAACUCAUUACCUACAAUAUGGGAAUUGUAAGGAACUACUGAAAAAACAAAUCUUAAAAUGUUCUGUGCAGACUCUCAAAUACUGUGCAAAUAUUAAACUGUUGUAAAAUCCA
Rhinopithecus roxellana (golden snub-nosed monkey) is the source of this 955-nucleotide long non-coding RNA. RefSeq lists it as uncharacterized. The transcript is spliced from 2 exons. NCBI's taxonomy places the organism in Eukaryota, Metazoa, Chordata, Mammalia, Primates, Cercopithecidae. The record is from RefSeq and is a predicted model, not a curated record.